This 1147-nucleotide ribosomal RNA is filed under the name Salmonella enterica. Its description in RNAcentral is "partial 23S ribosomal RNA". It matches the Rfam family "Bacterial large subunit ribosomal RNA", at positions 1783 to 2925 of the family's 2925-position model. Lineage: Bacteria; Pseudomonadati; Pseudomonadota; Gammaproteobacteria; Enterobacterales; Enterobacteriaceae. RNAcentral also lists the same sequence under 4 other names. The record is from RNAcentral.
UACCAGCUGGCUGCAACUGUUUAUUAAAAACACAGCACUGUGCAAACACGAAAGUGGACGUAUACGGUGUGACGCCUGCCCGGUGCCGGAAGGUUAAUUGAUGGGGUCAGCGCAAGCGAAGCUCCUGAUCGAAGCCCCGGUAAACGGCGGCCGUAACUAUAACGGUCCUAAGGUAGCGAAAUUCCUUGUCGGGUAAGUUCCGACCUGCACGAAUGGCGUAAUGAUGGCCAGGCUGUCUCCACCCGAGACUCAGUGAAAUUGAACUCGCUGUGAAGAUGCAGUGUACCCGCGGCAAGACGGAAAGACCCCGUGAACCUUUACUAUAGCUUGACACUGAACAUUGAGCCUUGAUGUGUAGGAUAGGUGGGAGGCUUUGAAGCGUGGACGCCAGUCUGCGUGGAGCCGACCUUGAAAUACCACCCUUUAAUGUUUGAUGUUCUAACGUGGACCCGUAAUCCGGGUUGCGGACAGUGUCUGGUGGGUAGUUUGACUGGGGCGGUCUCCUCCUAAAGAGUAACGGAGGAGCACGAAGGUUGGCUAAUCCUGGUCGGACAUCAGGAGGUUAGUGCAAUGGCAUAAGCCAGCUUGACUGCGAGCGUGACGGCGCGAGCAGGUGCGAAAGCAGGUCAUAGUGAUCCGGUGGUUCUGAAUGGAAGGGCCAUCGCUCAACGGAUAAAAGGUACUCCGGGGAUAACAGGCUGAUACCGCCCAAGAGUUCAUAUCGACGGCGGUGUUUGGCACCUCGAUGUCGGCUCAUCACAUCCUGGGGCUGAAGUAGGUCCCAAGGGUAUGGCUGUUCGCCAUUUAAAGUGGUACGCGAGCUGGGUUUAGAACGUCGUGAGACAGUUCGGUCCCUAUCUGCCGUGGGCGCUGGAAGACUGAGGGGGGCUGCUCCUAGUACGAGAGGACCGGAGUGGACGCAUCACUGGUGUUCGGGUUGUCAUGCCAAUGGCACUGCCCGGUAGCUAAAUGCGGAAAAGAUAAGUGCUGAAAGCAUCUAAGCACGAAACUUGCCCCGAGAUGAGUCUUCCCUGAGACUUUGAGUCUCCUGAAGGAACGUUAAAGACGAUGACGUUGAUAGGCCGGGUGUGUAAGCGCAGCGAUGCGUUGAGCUAACCGGUACUAAUGAACCGUGAGGCUUAACCUU